RNAcentral lists this ribosomal RNA (477 nucleotides) under uncultured bacterium. Its description in RNAcentral is "partial 16S ribosomal RNA". It matches the Rfam family "Bacterial small subunit ribosomal RNA", at positions 28 to 507 of the family's 1533-position model. The record is from RNAcentral.
GAUUAACGCUGGCGGCGUGCCUAACACAUGCAAGUCGAACGAUGAAACUUAAAUGAUUUCUUCGGAAUGAACUUAAGUGGAUUAGUGGCGGACGGGUGAGUAACGCGUGAGUAACCUGCCUUACACAAGGGGAUAGCCGUUGGAAACGACGAAUAAUACCCUAUGAAACUAUCACUACGCAUGAAGCGAUAGUCAAAGUGUUAGCGGUGUAAGAUGGACUUGCGUCUGAUUAGCUAGUUGGUGGGAAAAAAGCCCACCAAGGCAACGAUCAGUAGCCGGCUUGAGGGAGUGGACCGCAACAUUGGGAGUGAGACAAGGACCGAAUUCCUAGGGAAGGGAGCAGUGGGGAAUUUUGCACAAUGGGGGAAAGCCGGAUGCCGUGACGCCGUGUGAUUUAGAAGGCAGUGAAGUUGAAAAGUGCUUUUGUAUAGGAAGAAAAUGACAGUACUAUACGAAUAAGGUCCGGCUAAUUACGUG